This 30-nucleotide ribosomal RNA is filed under the name Ixodes uriae (common seabird tick). Its description in RNAcentral is "partial 28S rRNA". Lineage: Eukaryota; Metazoa; Arthropoda; Arachnida; Ixodida; Ixodidae. The record is from RNAcentral.
UCGACCUCACAUCAGGCGAGACAACCCCCU